RNAcentral lists this ribosomal RNA (501 nucleotides) under uncultured bacterium. RNAcentral describes it as "bacterial SSU rRNA". It matches the Rfam family "Bacterial small subunit ribosomal RNA", at positions 29 to 507 of the family's 1533-position model. The record is from RNAcentral.
AAUGAACGCUGGCGGCGUGCCUAACACAUGCAAGUCGUACGAGAAAACUCCCUUCGGGGAGCAAGUACAGUGGCGAACGGGUGAGUAACGCGUGGGUAACGUACCCUUCGGUGGGGGAUAACCCAGGGAAACUUGGGCUAAUACCGCACUCGCUUCGAGGUGCCAAGUGCCUCGAAGGAAAGAUUGCCUCUUCUAUGCAAUCGCCGAAGGAGCGGCCCGCGUCCCAUUAGCUAGUUGGUGGGGUAAUGGCCUACCAAGGCGACGAUGGGUAGCCGGCCUGAGAGGGUGAUCGGCCACACUGGGACUGAGACACGGCCCAGACUCCUACGGGAGGCUGCAGUGGGGAAUUUUGCGCAAUGAGCGAAAGCUUGACGCAGCGACGCCGCGUGCAGGAUGAAGGCCUUCGGGUCGUAAACUGUUGUCGCGAGGGAUGAACAUCCGUGGGAUGAAUAAGCCCACGGCCUGACGGUACCUCGUGAGAAAGCCCCGGCUAACUCCGUG